GGGUCUGACAGCAGUUGAAGUCACAUGAUUCUUCCAUUUCGAAAAGUGGGGGCAGAAAGGAGUUGGAGGAAAUUUAUGAUUAUGGUUCUUGUAACAUGAAUCCUACUCUAGUCUCCGUUGAAACUUGAUAAAUUUUCAAUAACCGCCAUCCAGUAUCAAUCUAACAGAAUCUGCAGGGACAUCCUUUUCAUUCCGCCGUACAGCCUACUGUAAAAUUAUGUACGUAGAGAAGUGAUACGUGUGAUAUCCAAAACUAGAAUCAAUAAUUAUGAAACCUCGGGAGUCAACAUAAUUUUCGUGAAAGUUAAAUAGUUGUCCCAUGCCUUAUGUAUUUUCCUUAAAACUAUAUUGUUUUCUGUUGCUUUAUGGAAUUGAAAUUUCAUAAGUACCUUACUUCCUAUUGUUCUUAAUAUCUGUUACAGGUGGAGAUGUCUGAACUUCGAUCCAUCAUUACUAGAACCACCCAAAGGAGCCUUGUGCUUGUUGAUGAAAUAUGUCGAGGAACAGAAGCUGCAAAAGGGACUUGUAUUGCAGGCAGCAUCAUUGAAACUCUUGAUAGUAUUGGCUGUCUAGGUAUUGUAUUUACUUACUUGCACGAAAUAUUUACCUUGCCGCUUAACAUCAAGAACACUGUGCACAAAGCAAUGGGCACCACUUGCAUUGAUGGACAAACAAAACCUACUUGGAAGCUGACAGAUAGUAUUUGUACAGAAAGUAUUGCUUUUGAAACUUCCAAGAGGGAAGGAAUUGCCGAAGAAAUCUACCCAAACUAUAUUAAACUCUUAUAGUUUGAGUUUUACAAUAAUAAUAAGAUUGCUCUGUUAGAAUCUGAGAAGGUUCAACACUUGUUUGAGUUCUUAUUCUUUGACAGAAAAAUACACGAGAAUGAUUCUAGGAAUCAAAUGGAAAAAAUCAGAAUUGAUUCAAUGUAUGUGUGUGAGAGAAAUUCAAGUAUGAUUGAAAUGAGUAAUGAAUUUUCUUAGUACUUGAAGCUCUAAUUUUUCCUUGAGCUUGACCUUCCUUUUAUAGGUUUUUUAGACCAUUUAAUAUUGGUCAAAAGAGCUGUUGGUGGUGCUCUGUCAGAUUUGACCAAAACCAAUAUUUUUGAAUAAAAAUAUUCCAGCCUUUGAACAUAAUUUGAACUUUGCUGACUGGGUUGGUUUCUUUGUUCUUGAUCAGAUUUAUCUUGUGUUUAAUGAUCCUUGAAGCUUUAUAUGUAAUUAUUGAUGUUACAGCUUCGAUCUGGAGCCUUGAUUCUGCCCAAAACAAUUUGGUGAAUAAUUAUGAACUUUUGCAGAAGUAAGGAGAUCAAUGCUGAAAUUUUGCAGAAUCGGAGAUUGAUAAUCAAUCUGGAGACUGGUUUGAUCAUUCUGGAGAAAGAUGUUUGCUGCUGAAGAUCAAGUGUAACAAGCUGGAAAAUAUUUAUCAAUCUGGAGACUGAUAUUACACUACUGUCCAGAUUGAUCAGAAUGUUGUCAAGAAUGUUCAUAUAUGUCUGGUUUUGCUAAUUUGCUAUAUGUUUGGUUUUGCUAAUGUUGUCAAGAAUGUUCAUAUUUAUCAAUCUGGUUUUGCUACUUGUUCCUUCCCAAGUAAUGAUAACAUUAGCAUGAAAUUCAGAGGCAGAAUCUUAUUUGAACUAAUGGAGAUUGAUUGCUUUUGGACCUGUGAUGAUCAUUCUGAAACUGGAGAACAUUCUUCGUUUUCCAUAUUUUGUUAAGAAUGUUCUCAAUUCUUGUCUGUUCAGUUUCUUGCCUUUUAUGUUUAUUUCUUUGUUUUGUUUAAAUCCUAUCUUUGAAUUAAUACACUCAAAAGCACAAGUUAAAUUAACAUAACAUUUAGAAUCAUAAUUAACAUUCUUAAUUAAUUUUUUGUUUGUUUUCAUCAAAACAUUAAAUUGAGAUUUUGUCUCAACACCUAGUACAUAUCAUUCAUACAAUAACAAUCAACAUAAGAUUUCAUAAAAUCAGACAACGUGCAAUCUUGAUAGGGAAUUUCGGUAUUUCCGUUUAUCCCACGUUAUUUUGUACUCAUAAAAUCGAACAUUCUAUCACUCCUUACCUUGGUUGAAGAUUUUUACCAACGAAGUCGAUCUACUGAUUUAUUGUGUCGUGUCAAUGCAACAACCAAUUAUAAAUUAAUAACUUGCUCCAAUAGAUAAAUUAUUUGGUCUUGUAAUAUAAUUCAAAAAUAUAUUUAAUAUUAUUAAACACACAUAUUACUAUAAUCAAAUUUUGUUUAAACUAAGCAUGAUAGAAGAACUAAGUAUUAUAUAUAUAUAUAUAUCACAGUGAAUAUAUCUUCGAUUUUUAAAUAGACUUUUAUAUAUAUCACAGUGAAUUUUAUUAUUAGUUACAACUUAUUAUUGACUACACUGAAUUUUAUAAAAUAAACUAAACCCUUUAGAACUAACUGCAUCUCAAUACUGCUAAUAACUUAUCUGCUAACUUAUCUUCUAGAAAUUUGUAUGACAACAACUCUUAUAUAGCAUAGUCCUUCUUUUAUGUAUUUGUCCGUAUUUAUAGUAAACCAGCAAGGUCCUUUAAGUAUGCAAUUAUCUCCAAGAAAAUCAUUAUUUCUUAGCUAAACUACUCAUUUAUCUAGCCCAAUGUCCUUAGUCGACAUUAUGUCAUAUGUCAAGGUUAUUCUAUCCCAAUCUGAAUCAUUUUGGUUAAUAUUUUCUUAUCACGCAUUAUCUAACUAUCAUAAAAAAAAAUAAAAACAAAACAUUCAGUAUCAUAUCAUAAUAAGCAUUUAUCUCCCCUACAUUCUAUUAUUGAUAUUGUUCUAAAUGGUUGGCUUAAAUAUUCAUGAAUCACUAAAAUAUUUCCUACAAAUCUAACAUAAGUAUGUAUAUAUAAAUUUUUUUCAAUUACCAGCCCUCUUGAUAGUACAUAUUAAUCUACAUUUACUACCUCAGGAGAAUGUUGUUAAUCAAUUUUCAAAUUCAAUGCCUACGAUGAGUUCUGUAUUCGUGUUCUAGCAACAACCACAAAUUCACUAUCCUAGAAUUCACCAAAUGGUGAGUUAAUUACAGAUUGCUUGUAUAAUAAUAGUGAAAAUAUUAAACGUCUAAAAUAAUUCUCAUUUUUCCACCAGAAAUCCUGAAAAGGAUAACUCAAAUUGAUAAUCAUGAUAAUCAAGUUCAAUGGUAAGUUCCUGAUUGCGAUUCUUUGUGUGCGAAUUUCAAUUGUAUGAUUGAUCUUUCUAUUUUUCUAUCAAAAUCUGUGUAUUUGUCAAAAUCUAAUUGAUGAAAUUAACGCAUACCUAAUUGCAAUUGGAUAUUAAGAAGCGGCUAUCGGCAAAAGCGCUAAUCCCUUAUUUUUUCU
This 3326-nucleotide long non-coding RNA is filed under the name Cicer arietinum (chickpea). RNAcentral's name for it is "long non-coding RNA (CARI_LNC001219)". The record is from RNAcentral. Lineage: Eukaryota; Viridiplantae; Streptophyta; Magnoliopsida; Fabales; Fabaceae.